AAAUUGAAGAGUUUGAUCAUGGCUCAGAUUGAACGCUGGCGGCAGGCCUAACACAUGCAAGUCGAACGGUAACAGGAAACAGCUUGCUGUUUCGCUGACGAGUGGCGGACG
This 111-nucleotide ribosomal RNA is filed under the name Escherichia coli. RNAcentral's name for it is "partial 16S ribosomal RNA". It matches the Rfam family "Bacterial small subunit ribosomal RNA", at positions 1 to 104 of the family's 1533-position model. RNAcentral also lists the same sequence under 2 other names. Lineage: Bacteria; Pseudomonadati; Pseudomonadota; Gammaproteobacteria; Enterobacterales; Enterobacteriaceae. The record is from RNAcentral.